UGACGCUCAGGUGCGAAAGCGUGGGGGAGCAAACAGGAUUAGAUACCGUGGUAGUCCACGCCGUAAACGAUGUCGACUUGGAGGUUGUGCCCUUGAGGCGUGGCUUCCGGAGCUAACGCGUUAAGUCGACCGCCUGGGGAGUACGGCCGCAAGGUUAAAACUCAAAUGAAUUGACGGGGGCCCGCACAAGCGGUGGAGCAUGUGGUUUAAUUCGAUGCAACGCGAAGAACCUUACCUACUCUUGACAUCCAGAGAACUUUCCAGAGAUGGAUUGGUGCCUUCGGGAACUCUGAGACAGGUGCUGCAUGGCUGUCGUCAGCUCGUGUUGUGAAAUGUUGGGUUAAGUCCCGCAACGAGCGCAACCCUUAUCCUUUGUUGCCAGCGGUCCGGCCGGGAACUCAAAGGAGACUGCCAGUGAUAAACUGGAGGAAGGUGGGGAUGACGUCAAGUCAUCAUGGCCCUUACGAGUAGGGCUACACACGUGCUACAAUGGCGCAUACAAAGAGAAGCGACCUCGCGAGAGCAAGCGGACCUCAUAAAGUGCGUCGUAGUCCGGAUUGGAGUCUGCAACUCGACUCCAUGAAGUCGGAAUCGCUAGUAAUCGUAGAUCAGAAUGCUACGGUGAAUACGUUCCCGGGCCUUGUACACACCGCCCGUCACACCAUGGGAGUGGGUUGCAAAAGAAGUAGGUAG
RNAcentral lists this ribosomal RNA (693 nucleotides) under Enterobacter sp. ESA 0004. RNAcentral describes it as "bacterial SSU rRNA". It matches the Rfam family "Bacterial small subunit ribosomal RNA", at positions 741 to 1433 of the family's 1533-position model. The record is from RNAcentral. Lineage: Bacteria; Pseudomonadati; Pseudomonadota; Gammaproteobacteria; Enterobacterales; Enterobacteriaceae.